This 496-nucleotide ribosomal RNA is filed under the name uncultured bacterium. RNAcentral's name for it is "partial 16S ribosomal RNA". It matches the Rfam family "Bacterial small subunit ribosomal RNA", at positions 28 to 506 of the family's 1533-position model. The record is from RNAcentral.
GAUGAACGCUGGCGGCGUGCCUAAUACAUGCAAGUCGAGCGAACGGACGAGAAGCUUGCUUCUCUAAUGUUAGCGGCGGACGGGUGAGUAACACGUGGAUAACCUACCUAUAAGACUGGGAUAACUUCGGGAAACCGGAGCUAAUACCGGAUAAUAUUUUGAACCGCAUGGUUCAAAAGUGAAAGACGGUCUUGCUGUCACUUAUAGAUGGAUCCGCGCUGCAUUAGCUAGUUGGUAAGGUAACGCCUUACCAAGGCAACGAUGCAUAGCCGACCUGAGAGGGUGAUCGGCCACACUGGACCGGGGACACGGUCCAGACUCCUACGGGAGGCAGCAGUAGGGAAUCUUCCGCAAUGGGCGAAAGCCUGACGGAGCAACGCCGCGUGAGUGAUGAAGGUCUUCGGAUCGUAAAACUCUGUUAUUAGGGAAGAACAUAGGUGUAAGUAACUGUGCACAUCUUGACGGUACCUAAUCAGAAAGCCACGGCAAACUACGU